Long non-coding RNA from Solanum tuberosum (potato), 549 nucleotides. RefSeq lists it as uncharacterized. Lineage: Eukaryota; Viridiplantae; Streptophyta; Magnoliopsida; Solanales; Solanaceae. The record is from RefSeq and is a predicted model, not a curated record. The transcript has 4 exons.
CAUUGAUACAUAUUUAUGAAGCAACAAAAACUCUAAAGAGUAGAAGAAGAAGAAAUUUGAGAGAGAAGUAAAACCCUAGUUUUGCUUUCAAUUACAAAGCCCCAAAUCACCACCACCGCUCCUCGCCGGCCAGUUUUCCGGUCAGGUGUUGUAUCUGCUUGCACAAACUCUGCCUGUUGUGUUGUGUUGCUUCACGGAAUCUCAAAAGAUGACAAAGGGAGCGGCAAUGUCGUCUUCUGCUGUGUCGGUUCGUGAUAACGUGAUCAAUUUGGAAGUUUGUGAAAGAUCAAUCCGUUCAGAAGGUGAAUCUCUCAAUAAGUUGGAUGAUGAUACACUCGUUCAAAUUCUUUGUGGUUUACCCCUUAAAGAUGCGGCAAGAACGAGUGUCCUUUCACGUAGAUGGAGGCACUUAUGGCGCCGUUCACUCAUGUAUCCGUUGAAUAAUAUGUAAAUUUCCAUCAAGAACCUAAUGCUAGUACUGUGACCCGUAAAUGAAUCUUGAGAUGAUGUUUAUAAAACAGAUGUUGUGAAGAUAAUAGAGAAAGCAGA